Molecule: ribosomal RNA, 468 nt
Filed under: uncultured bacterium
Lineage: Bacteria
Description: partial 16S ribosomal RNA
Rfam family: Bacterial small subunit ribosomal RNA
Source: RNAcentral
GACGAACGCUGGCGGCGUGCUUAACACAUGCAAGUCGAACGGAAAGGCCCUGCUUUUGUGGGUUGCUCGAGUGGCGAACGGGUGAGUAACACGUGAGUAACCUGCCCUUGACUUUGGGAUAACUUCAGGAAACUGGGGCUAAUACCGGAUAUGAUCUCCUGCUGCAUGGUGGGGGUUGGAAAGUUUCGGCGGUUGGGGAUGUACUCGCGGCUUAUCCGCUUGUUGGUGGGGUAGUGGCUUACCAAGGCUUUGACGGGUAGCCGGCCUGAGAGGGGGACCGGCGACAAGGGGACUGAGAGAGGGACCAGAAUGCAACGGGAGGCAGCAGGGGGGAAUAUUGCGCAAUGGGGGGAAGCCUGAGACAGAAACGCCGCGUGCGGGAUGACGGCCUUCGGGUUGUAAACCGAUUUCGACUGUGACGAAGAGGGAGUGACGGUAAUGGGUAAAGAAGCAACGGCUAACUACGUG